GCUAAAUAAACUGCAGUGUUACUAAUAGUUGUGUAAUUCAUUUAAAUUCAUGAUGUGCUACUGCUUACAAUAUACCUUAUCAAUAUAGGUACAAUAAAUAAUGGUUUAUGUUUUAAUAUUAAAAUAUCGUCAUACUAACAAAUUUGGCAAACAUAAAUACUGGAGAGACUGUCGGGUGUGCAUAAUGAACAACCCUAUCUUAAGGGCUGAGGCGUACUCCAUAUUAUAUGCAUAUAUAGUAAUUACUCAUAAGUCAUGUGCCCGUAUACAUUUAUUGUGUUAAAAUUUAUCAGCGGACAUAUUAUUACCAUUUAGAUUUAAUAAUAUUGAUAAACAAUAAUUGCAAUAUUGCAGGUGUUUUGGUCAUGAAUAAUAUCGAAAAUCUUUUUUGAACUGCUCGUCGACGAAACUCUGUUUUCCCGAAGUGCGUACCGCGAAGCAACGACUUUCUACUCCUUAUUUCUAUGUCGUGUCUGAGGUAUAUAACUCAAAAAAUACACAAGUUGAAUUUUUUUUUUACUCUCCUAGCGAUUCUAGUUAUCGAGACCCAACUGUAUAUCAUCAUCAUGUAUAAACUAUGGACAUGUGGGUGCGCCUUUUAUCUCGAAAUAUCAUGUGGCAUCGUUAAAUAUUCGUCGACAAGCACGUCACAUUGGUCAGCAAGCUUAAUAUGUAAUAAUUGUAUAUGUGGCUUCGGAACAAGUGUGCCAUAUUAUCAUAAUAUACUUCCAUGUGCGUGUGCUAUUCGUUAAUAUUAUAUAUGUAUGUAAUGUUUUCUCAAUGUCUUCCCCAAUACCCAAUGCUCAUAAAACGUCACUAUCGUUACUUAUUAGCAAUAAAAACCUUAAAAACUCGUCAAAUAAUAAUUGCCGAUUGUGAUCAUGACAAAGUCUCGGCCGGAUAGAACACCCGGACGUGCGUCAAUGUACAGAAAUAGUGUUUUAUAUUAUUAUUCUUCCGAGCCAUUAUUGUUUUUACACGAUCAUAAACGCAUAUUAGUUGACAAUAAUAAUAUAUACAGCAAUAAUAAUAAUUGUCUGUUUAGUUUUUAGGUACAUACAGUUAUUACAGUGUAAUAUGUAAUAUGAUCUAUUUAUUAUUUAACAUAAUAUAAUUUAUAGAACACGUCAUCAUGGAAUAUCACAUUCAUUAUACUUAAUACUUAUGCGGCAAACAUAAUAUUAUGCAUUAUAAUGUCGGUCAAAACAAAAUCAAUUGCGUUUUAAAUUUUUGAUAUUAAUAUUAUGUUCUCGUGCAUGAAUAACGGCGUACAUUGACUGUCUGCCGUCUGGUGUAAUCGGAAAGUACAAUAAAAAGACAACAACAACAACAACAACAACAACAACAAAACAAAAUCAAACGUGGACCUAUUUCCUCUUAAGGAGACUCUCUUGAAUUUAACGUGACUAAUGAGAACAUCGAAUAUUAAUUAUUAAUAGUCAUCCGAUUCAUCGAGGACGCCAUGCUGGUUGCAUCAUUCGUUGUCAUUUCGUAUGCGAAUAAAAACAAGAAAACUAACUGAUUUUCAUAAGCAAAAAUCACGGAGUAUUGAAACAGAUGGUACCGAAGGCGGACAAAAUCAAAGCUACUCGGGCCUAGUGUCAGCUAGUGGACGAUCGAAUACCCUCUGAAUUAUUCCCUGCACUUAAAUUCACUUAGGGGCCAUACAGUAAAAUAUCAAACGAGUUGAAGCAUUGCAACUUUUGGUAAAUCGUAUACUAUAGGUACGCCUACUCGUUAUCUUGGCUUAUUAUCGAUCGGACCGUAAUAUAAUUAUAAUGUCGGAUGCUUCUGAGUUACGCAAGUCGUCGAGUGAAUUGGAGAUGUAUUUGGUACACAGAAUGUUCGUAGGUAUCAGCUAUGACAAAUGACAAGCAUGACACAAUGUUUGUUCUAGCAUUCUUAUAAUAAAAUAUUUUAGUGUACACACGCAUAUUUUAUUAAUUUGAUAUAAUAAAGAUGACUGUUAAUGAUGUUUUGAGUGUUUUAUUAUGUCAAAUUGGAGAUAAACAUAAUGAAAAAAUAAAAAAUGUCGAUACAAAGUCGAGUAAACUGAAAACAAUACUUAC
This is a long non-coding RNA of Myzus persicae (green peach aphid), 2069 nucleotides long. RefSeq lists it as uncharacterized. The transcript is spliced from 4 exons. NCBI's taxonomy places the organism in Eukaryota, Metazoa, Arthropoda, Insecta, Hemiptera, Aphididae. The record is from RefSeq and is a predicted model, not a curated record.